GAUGAACGCUGGCGGCGUGCCUAAUACAUGCAAGUCGAGCGAACAGACGAGGAGAUUGCUCCUCUGCCGUUAGCGGCGGACGGGUGAGUAACACGUGGAUAACCUACCUAUCAGUCUGGGAUAACUUCGGGAAACCGGAGCUAAUACCGGAUAAUAUAUUGCACCGCAUGGUUCAAUAGUGAAAGACGGUUUUGCUGUCACUAAUAGAUGGAUCCGCGCCGCUUUAGCUAGUUGGUAAGGUAACGGCUUACCAAGGCAAGGAUGCGUAGCCGACCUGAGAGGGGGAUCGGCCACCCCAGAACUGAGACGCGGUCCAGACCACUACGGGAGGCAGCAGUAGGGAAUCGUCCGCAAUGGGCGGAAGCCUGACGUAACAACGCCGCGUGGGGGAUGAAAGUCUGGGGAUCUGGAAACUCUGUUAUUAGGGAAGAACAAAUGUGUAAGGAACUAGGCACGUCUUGACGGUACCGAAUCAGAAAGCCACGGCUAACUACGUG
RNAcentral lists this ribosomal RNA (497 nucleotides) under uncultured bacterium. Its description in RNAcentral is "partial 16S ribosomal RNA". It matches the Rfam family "Bacterial small subunit ribosomal RNA", at positions 28 to 507 of the family's 1533-position model. The record is from RNAcentral.